UGAGUAACGCGUGAGUAACCUGCCUUCAAGAGGGGAUAACAUUCUGAAAAGAAAUGCUAAUACCGCAUGACAUAUCGGAAUCACAUGGUUCUGAUAUCAAAGAUUUUAUCGCUUGAAGAUGGACUCGCGUCCGAUUAGUUAGUUGGUGAGGUAACGGCUCACCAAGACCGCGAUCGGUAGCCGGACUGAGGGGUUGAACGGCCACAUUGGGACUGAGACACGGCCCAGACUCCUACGGGAGGCAGCAUG
RNAcentral lists this ribosomal RNA (249 nucleotides) under uncultured bacterium. Its description in RNAcentral is "partial 16S ribosomal RNA". It matches the Rfam family "Bacterial small subunit ribosomal RNA", at positions 107 to 353 of the family's 1533-position model. The record is from RNAcentral.